AAACCAAGAAAACCAGUGGACAUGUCAACCACCAUUUCCACACAUAAACAUAAACAUAAACACAAACACCACCCACGGCUUCUUUUGUCAUAAGCUCUCAAACCCUUCUCUCUUAACCUCCUACCCAUAAUAAUUAUUAAUUAAUUAAUUAUAAUUAGUUGUCUAUUUAUAUAAAUAAAUACCCAAAAAGAAUUGUUCAGGUCCUCUUUUGUUGUUUAUUAGUUUUGUUGCUUAAGAGGUCAAUUAGUCGUUGAGCUUUCUCUUUCUCUGUUUGAUCGGCUGGUAGUUCUUAUGUUUGACUCUAAUUGAAGCAACCCUUGUCUCUUAAGCUCUAUACUCCAAUGGCUUUUCUCCUGUUCUCUUUGAUUUCUCGCUUUCGCUUGCAUUUCGAACAAAGAGGCUUGGUGGGGAAGAUUCGGAGUUGAAUUUCUCGAAUGGGUUGCUUGAGUUUGGAAAUGGGGGUCGUGAAAAUUUUGGGGUUUAUGUGGUCUCAGAGAAGGAAGUUGAGGUUUCUAUACUGGGUUGCAUUCUGGUUGUGUGUAGCUUUGGUGCUUUUUCAGCCGGUGGCGGGUCUCAGACCCUUGCGGGAAAGGGCUCGCUCGUGGGGUGAUGAGUGGCUAUUUGUAAGAAAAGAUGAAAGUGAUUUGGGUCCAUUUUCUACAUGGAACAUAACAGGAACUUACAGAGGGACUUGGAAGUUUCCUGAUUCUGCAAAUAGCUCUUCCAGAUUUCCGGAUUUUAGGAAAUCCGACGGCAACUCUAUCAUCGAAUUAGUUAGCACGCAAACAAAAAUAACUGGUGUACAUUACGUGCAGGGUGUAAUUAUUUUCCAUGAUGUGUUCGACAAUGAACACAAUGUUGGUGGUGUUCAAAUCAAGGUGGAAGGUGUAUUUAUAUGGCCGUUUAGACAACUUCGAAUGGUAGCUAACAGUGGAAAAGAGGGAGAGUCCAGUCAAGAAGAAGAUUACAUGUUGUCAAAUCCGUAUCAUAUGCUUGGAGUUUUCUCUUCCCAGGUUUUCCAAGAAUCUCCUCGAGAUAAGAUAUGGAGGAAAAAGCAUUCUCCAAUUUAUGAAAUGGAGAAACAUUGUAAUAUAGAAAUUGCGGGCCAAAUUUCACGUGUCUCAUCCCCCCAUAAUGAUGGUGAUCGUGAUCGUUACCACAUAGAAGCAUUCAUGGAGAGUCCUGCAGUGGAUGAUGAUGGAGAUUGCUUCUCACCCUUGAUACUAAAUGCUACAUCUGUCAACGUUGAGGUGUACUACAACAAAGCAGUGAACUAUACCUUGAUGGUCACCUUUGUCUCCUUUCUCCAAGUUCUUCUCUUAAUUCGCCAAAUGGAACAUAGCAACACUCAGUCGGGGGCUGCCAAAGUUUCAAUUCUAAUGAUUGGCCAACAGGCUAUCAUGGAUGCUUAUCUUUGCCUUCUACAUUUGACCGCAGGAAUACUUGUUGAAUCCUUAUUUAAUGCUUUUGCAACUGCCGCUUUUUUCAAGUUUGUUGUCUUCUCAAUAUUUGAGAUGAGAUAUCUUCUUGCUAUAUGGAAAGCAAGUAGGCCUACAAAUAGUGGAGAAGGUUGGGAGACAAUGAGGCGUGAGCUUUCAGUUUUAUAUAGCCGUUUCUAUGGGAUCCUUUUGGGAGGCAUUCUGUUCAUGUAUGAGUUCCAUAACUUCCUGAGACCUAUUCUUCUCCUUAUGUACUCCUUUUGGAUACCACAAAUAAUCACCAAUGUUAUUCGUGAUUCGAGGAAACCAUUGCAUCCUCAUUACAUCUUAGGCAUGACUGUUACUCGGCUUGCAAUCCCGUUAUACAUAUUUGGUUGCCCUAACAACUUCAUGCGUAUUGAGCCCGACAAGAGUUGGUGUAUUUGUUUGGGUGUAUUUAUUGGACUGCAAGCAUCAAUUCUUCUUCUUCAGCACUAUCUUGGCUCUCGAUGGUUCAUUCCUCGUCAGAUUCUACCUGAAAAAUAUAGCUACUUUAGAAGGUAUGAUCAGGAUACACAUCACACCACAGACUGUGUCAUUUGCAUGACUGCAGUUGAUCUCGCACAGCGUUCAAAUGAUUGCAUGGUGACACCGUGCGACCAUUUCUUUCAUUCAGGUUGUUUACAAAGGUGGAUGGAUAUAAAGAUGGAGUGCCCAACUUGUCGGCGUCCACUGCCACCAGCCUGAUCCGUUCACUCUGUCUAUAUCACGUAUAGGAUCAACUGACAUCGCCCAACUCACUAAUCUUGGUUGGGUAUUGAAUCCAUAAUCAACUUGAGUGCACCUUCAGAAGAGGGAUGAGAUACAAAUCAAAUUCCUAACUGUAACUGAUUCUGCAACUGCCAACUCUAGCCAAUAAUUUUUUUUGCACUGUUGUAUAAUGUAUAUCUUAGUAAGCAAUUCCAUAGGUGCAAAUCCUUAUUAAUCCCAUCAAUAGUUGGUUCCCUCUGCACGUUUUCAUUUUUAGAAGUUGGUUGAAAGAUGAGUAAUUGUCUUCAAUCAUGAUUAA
Molecule: non-coding RNA, 2487 nt
Organism: Prunus avium (sweet cherry)
Lineage: Eukaryota; Viridiplantae; Streptophyta; Magnoliopsida; Rosales; Rosaceae
Source: RefSeq, a predicted model, not a curated record